UUCCUGCACCUGGGACGGGGCAACCCUCGCAGUACGCACAGACUGGGGGACGAGACGCUGGAGAGCAGCCCCACAGAGAGGGAUCCGGGGGUUGUGUUUGACAGCAAGUUGAAUAUGAGCCAGCAGUGUGCCCUGGCAGCCAGGAGGGCCAAUACCCUGGGGAGCAUCAAGCACGGCAUCGCCAGUCAGUCGAGGGAGGUGAUGGUGCCUGUGGAUAGUUAGGGUCUGGCGGCCGGAAGAUGUCGCGAUGUACGGAAAGGUGGAGCCCCUCCCUUGAUGGACAGUAGCGUGUGGUCUGUGAUGUAAGCAAGUGAAGUGACGCUAUGGGCCUCGGGUAUAUAAGCCCAUGUGACUCGACAAUAAACGCCAUUUGCCAUCCACCACAUUGGUGUCUGUGAGCCGAUGGACCGAGCGGCCUGGGGUUGGCCGCCGUGCCGUUCCUGAACCAGGUCGCCACUGCCCCCUGAAGGCAACAGGUGGUGCCGAAACCCGGGAAAACUCCUGGAUUCGGGUGAACGGCGGCCGGAGCGGCGGGACCAGCCCGGCGGGACCAGCCCGGUGGGGAGGACGCUCCCGGACCAACAAGGAAGAUGGAAACCCUUGUGAAGGAACGGAUCAUCGGGCACCCCCGUAAUCUGUAUACCCCGGUGACAUGAGAAGACAGUAAGUCAGCAAGCGUCCUGUCUAAGCCUGAGAGUUCCACACUGGCAGAAUCCAGACAACAGCGAAGCGGCCUCUGUGGGUGGGGGGCUGCGAUGCCUUUGUGUGAUCUUAUCUUUGGACCUUGUAUACUAAAUAAGCUUGUGUUGUUUGUUAAAAGUUGGUUAGAGAAAGUUAACAUUAUGUUGGUAGAACACCAACAACUACUUUAAGAGUGUAUUUACUCAGGGUUACCAGUUACCUCCUGGUUAUUGUGCCUUAUGUUUCUUAUUUAAGUUAUGAUGUCUAUGUCUUGAGAUUGUUAUAUUUCAGCUAAUUUGGUUGUGCAUAGGGAGGGGGGAAAUGUGGAUAGUUAGGGUCUGGCGGCCGGAAGAUGUGGCGCUGUACGGAAAGGUGGAGCCCCUCCCUUGAUGGACAGUAGCGUGUGGUCUGUGAUGUAAGCAAGUGAAGUGACGCUAUGGGCCUCGGGUAUAUAAGCCCAUGUGACUCGACAAUAAACGCCAUUUGCCAUCCA
RNAcentral lists this long non-coding RNA (1174 nucleotides) under Anas platyrhynchos platyrhynchos (common mallard). RNAcentral's name for it is "lncRNA (ENSAPLG00000027436.1)". Lineage: Eukaryota; Metazoa; Chordata; Aves; Anseriformes; Anatidae. The record is from RNAcentral.